RNAcentral lists this ribosomal RNA (465 nucleotides) under Vreelandella stevensii. RNAcentral's name for it is "partial 16S ribosomal RNA". It matches the Rfam family "Bacterial small subunit ribosomal RNA", at positions 338 to 795 of the family's 1533-position model. The record is from RNAcentral. Lineage: Bacteria; Pseudomonadati; Pseudomonadota; Gammaproteobacteria; Oceanospirillales; Halomonadaceae.
CCUACGGGCGGCUGCAGUGGGGAAUAUUGGACAAUGGGGGGAACCCUGAUCCAGCCAUGCCGCGGGUGUGAAGAAGGCCCUCGGGUUGUAAAGCACUUUCAGGGAGGAAGAACGCCUGGUGGUUAAUACCCAUCAGGAAAGACAUCACUCACAGAAGAAGCACCGGCUAACUCCGUGCCAGCAGCCGCGGUAAUACGGAGGGUGCGAGCGUUAAUCGGAAUUACUGGGCGUAAAGCGCGCGUAGGUGGCUUGAUAAGCCGGUUGUGAAAGCCCCGGGCUCAACCUGGGAACGGCAUCCGGAACUGUCAAGCUAGAGUGCAGGAGAGGAAGGUAGAAUUCCCGGUGUAGCGGUGAAAUGCGUAGAGAUCGGGAGGAAUACCAGUGGCGAAGGCGGCCUUCUGGACUGACACUGACACUGAGGUGCGAAAGCGUGGGUAGCAAACAGGAUUAGAUACCCCUGUAGUC